UUUAAAGUCUGACCUGCCCAAUGAAUUUUAAAUGGCCGCAGUAUUUUGACUGUGCAAAGGUAGCAUAAUCAUUAGUUUUUUAAAUGGAAGCUGGAAUGAAGGGUUUGAUGAAAAAAUAACUGUCUCAUAUUAAUAUAUAUAUAAUUUUAUUUUUAAGUUAAAAAGCUUAAAUUUUUUAAAAAGACGAGAAGACCCUAUAGAGUUUUAUAAUUUAUUUAUUUAAUGUUUUUAGUAUUUAAAUAUUUUAUUUAUAUAAAUUAUUUUAUUGGGGUGAUAAUAAAAUUUAAUAAACUUUUAAUUUUUUAAACCAUUAAUAUAUGAUUAAUUGAUCCUAUUUUUAGAUUAUAAGAAAAAAUUACCUUAGGGAUAACAGCGUAAUUUUUUUUUAGAGUUCUAAUCGAAAAAAAAGAUUGCGACCUCGAUGUUGGAUUAAAAUAUAAAUUUGGUGUAGAAGCUAAAUUUUUAGGUCUGUUCGACCUUUAAAAUUUUACA
Molecule: ribosomal RNA, 492 nt
Filed under: Mycetoma suturale
Lineage: Eukaryota; Metazoa; Arthropoda; Insecta; Coleoptera; Tetratomidae
Description: partial 16S ribosomal RNA
Rfam family: Bacterial large subunit ribosomal RNA (bases 366-492)
Source: RNAcentral